RNAcentral lists this ribosomal RNA (317 nucleotides) under uncultured bacterium. RNAcentral's name for it is "bacterial SSU rRNA". It matches the Rfam family "Bacterial small subunit ribosomal RNA", at positions 28 to 329 of the family's 1533-position model. The record is from RNAcentral.
GACGAACGCUGGCGGCGUGCUUAACACAUGCAAGUCGAACGGACCGAGUUGAUAGCUUGCUAUUGAUGAGGUUAGUGGCAAACGGGUGAGUAACGCGUAGGCAACCUGCCCUUCAGAUGGGGACAACACCUCGAAAGGGGUGCUAAUACCGAAUGACGUUUCCUGGUCGCAUGACCUGGAAACCAAAGGCCGGGCAACCGGUCACUGAAGGAUGGGCCUGCGUCUGAUUAGCUAGUUGUGGGGUUAACGGCCCGACCAAGGCGACGAUCAGUAGCCGGUCUGAGAGGAUGAACGGCCACAUUGGGACUGAGACACGG